This 26-nucleotide non-coding RNA is filed under the name Mus musculus (house mouse). Lineage: Eukaryota; Metazoa; Chordata; Mammalia; Rodentia; Muridae. The record is from RNAcentral.
CUGUUAAACAGUUCUAAUGGGUUUUC